RNAcentral lists this ribosomal RNA (450 nucleotides) under uncultured bacterium. RNAcentral's name for it is "partial 16S ribosomal RNA". It matches the Rfam family "Bacterial small subunit ribosomal RNA", at positions 354 to 796 of the family's 1533-position model. The record is from RNAcentral.
GUGGGGAAUAUUGGACAAUGGGCGAAAGCCUGAUCCAGCCAUGCCGCGUGUGUGAAGAAGGUCUUCGGAUUGUAAAGCACUUUAAGUUGGGAGGAAGGGCAGUAAGUUAAUACCUUGCUGUUUUGACGUUACCGACAGAAUAAGCACCGGCUAACUUCGUGCCAGCAGCCGCGGUAAUACGAAGGGUGCAAGCGUUAAUCGGAAUUACUGGGCGUAAAGCGCGCGUAGGUGGUUUUGUAAGUUGGAGGUGAAAUCCCCGGGCUCAACCUGGGAACUGCCUCCAAAACUGCAUGACUAGAGUACGGUAGAGGGUAGUGGAAUUUCCUGUGUAGCGGUGAAAUGCGUAGAUAUAGGAAGGAACACCAGUGGCGAAGGCGACUACCUGGACUGAUACUUACACUGAGGUGCGAAAGCGUGGGGAGCAAACAGGAUUAGAAACCCCUGUAGUCC